Dromaius novaehollandiae (emu) is the source of this 697-nucleotide long non-coding RNA. RefSeq lists it as uncharacterized. The transcript has 2 exons. NCBI's taxonomy places the organism in Eukaryota, Metazoa, Chordata, Aves, Casuariiformes, Dromaiidae. The record is from RefSeq and is a predicted model, not a curated record.
CUGAAACCCGAUGCAGCCGAGGAGGCCGAUCGCGAGAUUAAUUAGGCUUUUUCGGGAACCUGACAGCCGGGGGGAAGCGAGCAAAAAGGGCCGGCUGCCCUCCCGGCGCGGCGCGCGCAUCCGCAGCGGCGAGGGGAGGCAGAGCCGGGCAGCCGCGGCGCUGCCGGGGAAGGAGCGGCGAGGACGACCCGCGCCGCGGCACCAUGGCCCGCGCCGCGCCACGGCUGCUCCUCGCCCUGCUGCCGCUCGCUGCAAUGCUGCAACACGGGGCGCGCGAGCACACGCCGCGUGCGGGGUCACGCCGUGCCCUGCGAAUCCUCCUCCAGCUCUCUCCGGGAACGCAGCCCCUUCCGUUCGCUCCGCUUGCGGGCUCUUCGAAAGCCCCAGUGCCGCGCGAGGACGCGCUGGCGGACGCUUGAGCUCCAGGGCUCGACGCAACGCCAUCCUGUGCCCGCGCCGUGGGGGAACGGCGCAGACCUUCCCAGCAUCCCAGCAGCUCCUUGACUGAUCGCCAGGAAACCCAGCUGUCCUGCAGUUGCUUUCCAGGAGAAACUCCGACUGCAGCAACUGUGGCCAGCAGCGCUUGGAAGCAUCUGCGACACACAAAGCACUCGGGGCCUGAUCCAAAGCCCGGUGGCGUACGCGGCCAGGCCCCACCGAGAUUAAUGCUUAUCUCAUUAAACGUUAAUGUCAUUAA